UGGGGAAUUUUGGACAAUGGGCGAAAGCCUGAUCCAGCAAUGCCGCGUGUGUGAAGAAUGCCUUCGGGUUGUAAAGCACUUUUGUCCGGAAAGAAAUCCUUGGCUCUAAUACAGUCGGGGGAUGACGGUACCGGAAGAAUAAGCACCGGCUAACUACGUGCCAGCAGCCGCGGUAAUACGUAGGGUGCAAGCGUUAAUCGGAAUUACUGGGCGUAAAGCGUGCGCAGGCGGUUUGCUAAGACCGAUGUGAAAUCCCCGGGCUCAACCUGGGAACUGCAUUGGUGACUGGCAGGCUAGAGUAUGGCAGAGGGGGGUAGAAUUCCACGUGUAGCAGUGAAAUGCGUAGAGAUGUGGAGGAAUACCGAUGGCGAAGGCAGCCCCCUGGGCCAAUACUGACGCUCAUGCACGAAAGCGUGGGGAGCAAACAGGAUUAGAUACCCUGGUAGUCCACGCCCUAAACGAUGUCAACUAGUUGUUGGGGAUUCAUUUCCUUAGUAACGUAGCUAACGCGUGAAGUUGACCGCCUGGGGAGUACGGUCGCAAGAUUAAAA
This 551-nucleotide ribosomal RNA is filed under the name uncultured bacterium. Its description in RNAcentral is "partial 16S ribosomal RNA". It matches the Rfam family "Bacterial small subunit ribosomal RNA", at positions 355 to 899 of the family's 1533-position model. The record is from RNAcentral.